RNAcentral lists this ribosomal RNA (718 nucleotides) under Porticoccus sp. Its description in RNAcentral is "bacterial SSU rRNA". It matches the Rfam family "Bacterial small subunit ribosomal RNA", at positions 28 to 742 of the family's 1533-position model. The record is from RNAcentral. Lineage: Bacteria; Pseudomonadati; Pseudomonadota; Gammaproteobacteria; Cellvibrionales; Porticoccaceae.
AUUGAACGCUGGCGGCAGGCCUAACACAUGCAAGUCGAGCGUGAAAGUUCCUUCGGGAGCGAGUAGAGCGGCGGACGGGUGAGUAACGCGUAGGAAUCUGCCCAGUAGUGGGGGACAACAUGGGGAAACUCAUGCUAAUACCGCAUACGCCCUAAGGGGGAAAGCAGGGGAUCUUCGGACCUUGCGCUAUUGGAUGAGCCUGCGUCGGAUUAGCUAGUUGGUGGGGUAAUGGCCUACCAAGGCGACGAUCCGUAGCUGGUCUGAGAGGAUGAUCAGCCACACUGGGACUGAGACACGGCCCAGACUCCUACGGGAGGCAGCAGUGGGGAAUAUUGGACAAUGGGGGAAACCCUGAUCCAGCCAUGCCGCGUGUGUGAAGAAGGCCUUCGGGUUGUAAAGCACUUUCAAUAGGGAGGAAAAGUUAAUGGCUAAUACCCAUUAACCCUGACGUUACCUAUAGAAGAAGCACCGGCAAACUCCGUGCCAGCAGCCGCGGUAAUACGGAGGGUGCGAGCGUUAAUCGGAAUUACUGGGCGUAAAGCGCGCGUAGGCGGUUUGAUUAGCUGGAUGUGAAAGCCCCGGGCUUAACCUGGGAAUUGCAUCCAGAACUGUCAGGCUAGAGUACAGUAGAGGUGAGUGGAAUUUCCUGUGUAGCGGUGAAAUGCGUAGAUAUAGGAAGGAACAUCAGUGGCGAAGGCGGCUCACUGGACUGAUACUG